GGGUCAUCGCCGGAGUAGGAGCGCCGGAGCGGGCUGUAACCCCGUGGCCGAGAGGCUAGUAGGUUCGAUUCCUACAUGACCCACCA
Molecule: transfer RNA, 86 nt
Filed under: Spirochaetes bacterium GWB1_59_5
Lineage: Bacteria; Pseudomonadati; Spirochaetota
Description: tRNA-Tyr
Rfam family: tRNA
About the family: Transfer RNA (tRNA) molecules are approximately 80 nucleotides in length.
Source: RNAcentral